UGGUUGUAUCGGCGAUAUAACUAACUUGAGUGUUUAACAAAGUGUUGGUAUUCCACGUUCGUCUGCCUUCUUGUCGUUCAUUAAUUUCCAUAAUAGUUUAGAAUCCUGUUUAUUGUUGUUGUUGUUGACGUAGUUGUUGUAGACUGUUUCAAAUGUAAUGUUAAUUGUGCGUCUUAAUUCUUGACAUUUUCGUUUACUCUAACGCUGUUGCUUUUUCAUAGUUGGCGUGUGUUCUUUUUUCUCGUUUUAUUAUGGCCUUUAUUUUAUUAUUUAUCCAUGGCAUUUUUUUUUUGAUGUUUUAGUUAUAACAUUAAUUUUGGUGAUUCAUAGAAUAAAUUAUUUUAUCGUGUUUCAGUUUUCUUCUACAUUUCUGCUGAUGACUAUAUUAACAGUAUCUGUCUCUGGUGAAGUCCCUUGUGCAUU
This 423-nucleotide long non-coding RNA is filed under the name Mytilus galloprovincialis (Mediterranean mussel). Lineage: Eukaryota; Metazoa; Mollusca; Bivalvia; Mytilida; Mytilidae. The record is from RNAcentral.